UACAGAGGUCCCAAGCGUUGUUCGGAUUCACUGGGCGUAAAGGGUGCGUAGGCGGUCGGGUAAGUCUGAUGUGAAAUCUUCAAGCUCAACUUGGAAACUGCAUCGGACACUAUUCGGCUCGAGGAAUGGAGGGGAGACUGGAAUACUUGGUGUAGCAGUGAAAUGCGUAGAUAUCUGGAGGAAUACCGGUGGCGAAGGCGGCAUCCUGGACCGAGAUUGACACUGAAAAGCGAAAGCCAGGGGAGCAAACGGG
RNAcentral lists this ribosomal RNA (253 nucleotides) under uncultured prokaryote. RNAcentral describes it as "partial 16S ribosomal RNA". It matches the Rfam family "Bacterial small subunit ribosomal RNA", at positions 524 to 776 of the family's 1533-position model. The record is from RNAcentral.